CUCCCCCCCCCCCCCCCCCAGAGGGCCGAGUCGUUUUUCCACUCUUGCCGCUGCAGUCGUGUGUAAUUGUGUCUCAGGGUGCCGCUCGUCAUUUGUUGCUGAUGAUGUCAAGUCAAGACCAACUGAAGCCUAGAAACCGGCCCUACGAGGCGGCAUCAGAGCACCAGGCCGGCCGACCUCCUCCGGGUCCAUCACCACUACUUGUUGUUUGUUACGCUUCUGGUGGUGUGGAACGUGAUGUUGAUCUCCAGAGGGACUUUUCUUCUAGUUAGGAAAGAGAAACGAGCAGUGAACGUAAAGGAAAAAGUAAGGUAACGUCUCCAAUGUUUCAGCUCAUGUCUCCUGGCCGAAGCUCUGCCCUGUUCAUGAAGCCUCAGGUCUGGUCAGAUGAAGCCCAUCUAAGCAGACCCUCAUGUAAAAGAAAUAAAAAUCAAAAGAAAGAUAAUAUUUUAGGACAUUAAUCCAGGUUGGCAAAAUAUUGGACUGGCGGCUGGUCCAUAGAGGGCAACAUGAGCAACGGGAAGAAGAAAAAGAACAUUUGCGUUGUUUGUUAUAUUAAAAAUAUUAUUUACAAAUAGUCAAUAUUUGCGUAUUUCUGAAACGAAAUUUUUGGAACGUGGAUUAUUUACCCGGUAAUAUUUGUAAAUUAAGAUAUCUGCGCAAAAUAUAUGCUUCUCCUGCGCGUCCUCUCCGCUUGUCUCAGCUCGGGCCGGGUCCCAACGAGGCGGGUCUAAGAAGCAGUCAAUCACUGACGAAGUUAAUGAGUGACAUCGUAACUUCAGCGCCCUAAAAUACAUUGAGCCCUUCGCCGCCCAACGCUGGCGAGUCUUACAUAACGAGAGCGACCAGUAUAUAUAUGUACAUAUAUUAGAUUUUGUUAUAAUAUAUUUAUAUUGGAUAUUUAUAAUAGUUACAAUACGGUAGUUGUAUAAUUGCUUUAUAUAAAUAUUCAUUGACAUACUGAAUUGUUUGAAUUUAUUUAUUUAUUAUGUUAAACUGUUGGAAUAAAUGUAAAACAUUUAACUGUGAGUAAUAAUGCGCGUUUGAUACCCGUCAUACUGGGACGUUAACUGAAACUGGCUCAACCAAAAAGAAACCCACCAGCCGCAACUGCACUCCGGAUUCAAUUAAACUCUCCCAAAGCACACAGAACUCCAAUUUAUAUAACUGACAUGUGAUGUGAGUGUCUCCAUCCUGUAAUCCCACUCUGGCUGAAGCAGCCGUGCUGAGACAGAAACUCUUUCAUUGGGGUUUUUAAAGACAGGCUGGGAGUUCAUGGACGGAUGGACGCUGCACUGUCAAUUACCAGCUCGUCCUCAGCUCGGCCCGUGUGUGCGCGCGCGAGUCAAUAUGUGUGUCCUCCACCUCGGCCUAAGCUCAUGUUUGCCAAUUUCUUUCUGCCUUUGCCACCAUCCAUCAGCUUCUCCUCCCAUCCGCCUGGACAAUCAAAAAGGCCGAAAUGCGGGAACGUACGAGGAUAAAGAUGCGGCAUAAAGGGCCGGUUAUAAGAAGAGGAGGAGGAGGAGGCUCAUGAGCAAAUGAGGUGGGGUGGAAAGGAGGUAGGGUGGGGUACGGAGUGAUGGGAGGGAGGGCAGCAGGGUGGAGAAAUGGUGGGAGGCAAUUUUCGGUUGCAAGAUGGUAAUUGUCCAACUCGACUCGAUAACGAGGCCUUUAAAAAACUUGAAAAAAAUGCAAUUUUCCCUCCACAAACUCCUGCUGUUAAUGGGAUUUGUGCUCUCUGCCCCUGCUGUCCUAAACACACACAACGACACGCACACGCACACAACGACAAACAGAAAUGGUCUCAGUUCCCCACGUACAGUGCAACAGCCCCCCCGUGCCUCUGCAGUCCAGAGUCUUUAUUCAGAUGGCAGCCAAACACAGUCAGUGAUUUGACGCUGGGACACAAACACACAAACUCACACAAAUACACACGAGUGGAAAUGAGAACUCGGUGGGCAAAUUUUCCUUUUGUCGCUUGACUCCUUGGCAGCAUUAUUCUUUACUUUCAUGCCAAUAAACCCCCGUCAAAGUGAACCGAAUUCAAAUAGAGUCAGAGAGGACGAGGUGUCACAUCCGGUUACUUCUGCUUUUACAGAAUACACAAACGUCCUCUGAGAAACCUCAGCGCUGCUACCAAAGAACCCCAUGGACAUCCAUUGUUAGGCAGUAAACACUUUAACGCCGCGGAGGUUCUUCGCCAAACAGGUGUGUGCAUCCAUUGUGUUUGUGACAGAGAGAGAGGGGAGGGAGGGAGAGAGAGGGGGGAGGAGGAGGAGGGAGAGAGAAGAGUGGAAUGUUACAAAUGCAGAGGACACAUUUCAAACAGCCACGUAGGCGUCUGAGGAUGCGCUUGCAUCGGUUUUGCAGAUGAGCCGAUCUAUAAAGACCCACGUUCAUGAAUGCUGAUGAUGCCAGAACGCGAGUGUGUGUGUGUGUGAGAGAGAGAGAGAGAGAGAGAGAGAGAGAGAGAGAGAGAGAGAGAGAGAGAGCACCUGGGGCCAAUUUGUAUGUGAGAUGUUGAUUAUUUCAUUUUAAGGGAAAGUAAGUAAGGAAUGUUCCGGCCCAUUGGACCAAAUUACCAUAAUCUAUGAGCCGGGCUGGGGGUGUCGAUCAAUAACAGUGACUCAGCAGUUGUGACAGGUGACGUCAGUAUCCUCCCGAAGUAAAAACACCCCACCCCCACCCUACACAGCUGGUUUCCUCUGCUCAGCAACACAAGAAAGUUCCUUCAUUCUCUGCAACAAUCACUCAGGUCAAAGGUCGAUAUCCGAGAGUGCGAGGCCCGAGCCUCAUCCUACUGACGCCUCAGCGGAUUCCACAAGCGCCACAAGCGCCACAAGGCUUUAUUAGUAGUAAGACUGUAGUACGUCUAUAAUAAGACUGUAAUACGUCUGUAAUAAGACGGUAAUAAGUCUCUAAUAAGACUGUAAUACGUCUGUAAUAAGACUGUAGUACAUCUAUAAUAAGACUGUAAUACGUCUGUAAUAAGACGGUAAUAAGUCUGUAAUACAACAUAUUGAGAUUGUAAUAAGUCUGUAGUAAGACUGUAGUACGUCUAUAAUAAGACUGUAAUACGUCUGUAAUAAGACUGUAACAAGUCUGUAAUAAGACUGUAAUACAUCUGUAAUAAGACGGUAAUAAGUCUGUAAUAAGACUGUAAUACGUCUGUAAUAAGACUGUAGUACAUCUAUAAUAAGACUGUAAUAAGACGGUAAUAAGUCUGUAAUAUAACAUAUUAAGAUUGUAAUAAGUCUGUAAUAAGACUGUAGUACGUCUAUAAUAAGACUGUAAUACGUCUGUAAUAAGACUGUAACAAGUCUGUAAUAAGACUGUAAUACAUCUGUAAUAAGACAGUAAUAAGUCUGUAAUAAGACUGUAAUACGUCUGUAAUAAGACUGUAGUACAUCUAUAAUAAGACUGUAAUAAGACGGUAAUAAGUCUGUAAUAUAACAUAUUAAGAUUGUAAUAAGUCUGUAAUAAGACUGUAGUACGUCUAUAAUAAGACUGUAAUACGUCUGUAAUAAGACUGUAACAAGUCUGUAAUAAGACUGUAAUACAUCUGUAAUAAGACAGUAAUAAGUCUGUAAUAAGACGUUUUAUGACUGUUUAUAUGAUUAUAAUUAACUAUGAUUAUGAUGAAGGCUUAAUAACACUGUAAUAAGAUAUAAUAAUCAACUCAUGUCUGUUUGAAAUGUCACCUCCUGCCGCCAUGCACAUGCAUUCACACAUACACAGACCCCUAAGGGAGGGGGGGGGGGCAUCAUAAAUAUUCAACAAUAUUCAAUGCAGUAGCACUUCCAUCUUAUGACGUAUAACUUCUUAUUCACCUUUAUGAUUCAUUUACUGGUAGUUGUGUUUUUAUUUUGCUAUAUUGCCCUAUGGUGCAACCUGUCCUACUGGUGUGACGGCGUAAAGUAUUGUUUCAUUAUUAGUUAUCUUUUGCUCUGGAAAACACGAGAGAUGCUCUUAUUGCAUCUCGUGUCUGCAAUCGGGUUUUCUAAGCGGGUAACGUUGUCCUGGAUUAUCAAAGCAGAAAUCUUAGGUUGUAGUUCUCUAAUGAGCCGAUCAAUCACAGAAAUCUGCACAUAUUAUAAUGUGUGGAACCACCGCUCAUCCCGCUCUCCUGUAGGUAAACACUGAAGCACAGAGCCCAGAGACGCUGCAGAGCAUCAGGCUGCACCGGAUAUUAGCCAAACCCAGCUUUGCUUUGCUUUCAGUCAGUCACUUUGUCAUUUCAUUUAUAACAAAUACAUAAAAGCUAGCGCGCUUCUACAAGACAGGGAUGAAGAUGGAGGUGCUGACCCUCCUCAUGCUUUUUCCCAAACAAAAAAAAGGCCUUUGCUGGAGGAAGUGUUUGCUAGCCUUUCACUACACCAGUCACACACAUCAGAUAUGUUCUUAUAUUCAACUCAAAGCCCAAACUCACUGGUAUUAAGUUGAAGAGGUCAAACCUCCACCUGGAGAAACGCGAGCCUCCACAUCUGGACCACAGGACGUGAGCGCCAGUAGAAGCAGAUGGAGCCGACGCGCCGCUCUGCAGACCGAUGCACUGCCGCGGUAAUACUGGAGCUCAGUGUCCCUCUGUGGCCCCACAUUAACAUUCUAUAUGCAGCCGUGAAAGUAGAAGAAGAUUUGGAGCAAAUCAGAGGGCAGAAAACAUCCUCAAGCACCAGAGCCACUGAACAUCUGAUGGAAACAAGCUACGCCCCGAGCGGUGAAUCACACUGACGGAUGAACGUCCAGCGUAGCAACCUGACAAUAAAACAUCUCCUUUUUUUUAUGGGAACCAAGGCACCGUGCACCAUCGCAUGGCAGAACCGAGGCAUCGUGCACCAUCGCAUAACAGAACCGAGGCACCGCGCACCAUCGCAUGGCAGAACCAAGAGACCGUGCACCAUCGCAUGACAGAACCGAGGCACCGCGCACCAUCGCAUGGCAGAACCGAGGCACCGUGCACCAUCGCAUGGCAGAACCGAGGCACCGUGCACCAUCGCAUGACAGAACCAAGGCACCGUGCACCAUCGCAUGACAGAACCGAGGCACCGUGCACCAUCGUAUGGCAGAACCAAGGCACCGUGCACCAUCGCAUGACAGAACCGAGGCACCGUGCACCAUCGCAUGACAGAACCGAGGCACCGUGCACCAUCGCAUGGUAGAACCGAGGCACCGUGCACCAUCGCAUGACAGAACCAAAGGCACCGUGCACCAUCGCAUGACAGAACCGAGGCACCGUGCACCAUCGCAUGACAGAACCAAGGCACCGUGCACCAUCGCAUGACAGAACCAAGGCACCGUGCACCAUCGCAUGGCCGAACCGAGGCACCGUGCACCAUCGCAUGACAGUUUCGUUAUGAUUUCUCCAGUGGUCACUUGUAUGAAAAACCCAAAUAUCCUCAUUAUUUUAGAAGCAGUUAAGGACCCAAACCGAUAUGGAACCAGAUGAGCAACAACUAAUCACCUCUCAGUACGUAGGUACACAAGGACAUGACUACUGCUUUAUGGAAAUGAAUAAAAGUCAAUGUAAUGUCCCCAUAAGUUGGGAAAACAGGUGUGUGUGUGUGUGUGUGUGUGUGUGUGUGUGUGUGUGUGUGUGUGUGUGUCGGUGGGUGUGAGAGAACGCCGUGAACCUUUCUGUCACUCUACAUCUACCAGCCUGCCAGAUGCCUGCUAACAAGGACCCACAAGCCCACAAACGACACAUGCUAACAAGGACCUAGCUCGUCGCAGGCUAAUACGCUACCUGCCCAUCAUGCACAAGCGCCCACACACACACACACACACACACACACCCCGCAUACUAACCACGGCUUGGCUGCUUUCACAGACUGACUAAUCAGUGUGACUCACAUAUCUCUGUGUGUCCAAGUCCUAGUUUCUGCUUAAUGCAGGUUGUGUGGAAGCGCACACACACACACACACAUACACACACACACACACACACGGUAGCAUGGAGGUGAGAUCCACUUUGUAUUCGGUGUGUGUUUUGUUGUCCGUCUCUGAGUUGGUCCCAUCACUUUUGUACCUGAUUAGGCCCAUGACAGCUGUGUGUUGUUGUUGUUUUGUCAGUGUGCAUUUGGGUGUUGUCACACGAAGCGUCUCCCCGAAGUAACCAAAAUCCCUCUCUGAGAAUCCGCCGCCGCCGCCGCUCCACAUCGUGCAUUCAGAACAGCUCUGAUCCCCUCGUGGAGCCUCCAUUCCAGCUGCAUCCAACAGCUGGCAGCCAAACGUAAACAAGUGACUGGUGGAGACAGCUGAGGUGUGAACGCGCUGUGUGUGUCCUUCCACCGGAUCCACACGGAUCUGUGAGUCACUAAUGACGAGUAACCACAGGCCGCUUUGCCGUGUGUGGAGUGACGUCGCCGUGGAAACACACGUGAGCAACCUGGUUGCGUUACUUGAUACUUGAAUGAACAUCAUGGCGCAUCGAAGAAGACUUGAAACCAGAGACCACAAACUCUGGUUCACAAUGUUUACUGAGGGAAUAAAUCAAGAGAAGUAGUUUCUCAUAGAAAUGGAACCAGAGGAGUCCCCCCCCCUCGUCCCCCCCGUCCCCCCCCCUGAUAUCAAUAAAAGUAUUUUUUAUUUUUUGGCAUCCGAAAGCUGUAAACUCACCAAAUGCCUUCACUGCUGCCUCCCGUCCAUCGAUGUCUGGCAGCUUUUGUCUUUUGUCUGUCUUUGAGUCAGAGAGAUGAACAAUGUCCUUCACAUGAGUGGCUGCAGACCCCGUCCCCCCUGUCCCCCCGUCCCUCUGUCCCCCCGUCCCCCUGUCCCCGUCCCCCCGUCCCGCCGUAAAUUGAUUGGAAUCACCCUCAAAAAUGAGGAGAGCUGAAAACGACGACUCGUCAAAAGGUGCUUCAGCUGUUCGACACCCUGACAACAACACGCGCUCCUUUCCAAAACGCCACACGCAACGAGGCCCGAAGCCUCGCUGCCUGUGUGUGUGCGUGUGUGUGUGUGUGUGUGUGUGUGUGUGUGUGUGUGUUUCUGGCAGGUACACACCAGCCAGCAGGCGAAUAACAAUCAAGUGUCUAUCACUGAAUAUUCAGCAACCCGCACUGCUGAGCACACGGGAUCCAGCAACACAUUUUGCCAUCUUGCAGUACUGACAAAACAUGUACGAUGAUAUGUGUGUGUGUGUGUGUGUGUGUGUGUGUGUGUGUGUGUGUGUGUGUGUGUGUGUGUGUGUGUGUGUGUUCAGGCUGCGACGCACUUAGAGAACAUUAAAGAGUUUCAUUGAAGCACUUUAAGUCACUUCCAUCGCACAUAUUCCAAAGAGGCUAAAUGUCUGCAUGUAGGAAGCUGCAGUCCCAGGACACAAAGAGUGAGCAUGGACACACACACACACACACACACACACACACGCACAUACAUGCACACUGCAGCUGUCAGCUGAAUCUGCCUCAGCCGCCAUAUCAGCCAUAAAUAUGGUUUAUUUAUAUCUGUGAAAUAGGUAAGAUUCAAAUAAAUAUCACUUUACCCGCAAACACACACACGCACGCACACACACACAGACACACACAGACACACACACGCACAGACAUAUCAAAACAAAAAAGAGGUUGCAAACAAAAGAAACGUGUGCACUCAAACGGCACAGAAGUCUGCAACAAGGGUGCAAUUACUGUCAAAUGCACACGUGCACACGCACUCGCACGUGCACACACUCACACACUCACACGUGCACACGCACUCGCACGUGCACACACUCACACACUCACACGUGCACACACUCAGUAAUGGAAGAUCAGCCUUUCGAGGCAGUACAGCAGCCUUGAACUCCUCCCAACCUGAGGUUUAAUCAUCAUAAAUGUAACACACGCACACACAUAUGGCUCACAUUCACACACACACACAUAUACGCUCACAUGCACACACACACGCGGCCCUGGACUUCUGGCAUGUUUGUGUCUUCUGUCUCCUCGUCCUCGUCUCUUGAGGUUAGAAAGCUGUUGAGUGUAAACGGAGCAGAUGGAGGAUUUGACUUCAUAUUUCACUGACGCUUUCAGCCACGAGGUUUUGUGGCGGAUGUUUAUUGAAAAAGUGCCUCAUUUACCCCGAAGUGGCCUUUUGAAGGUAAUGAACAUGUUCACGAUGAAAAAAAGUAUUAUUACCACCAACAUACCUCGGCUUUAUAACCAGGGUCUCCAUGUUAUGAUCCACUUUUAACAACCCCAAACCUUGUGAUUAAGUCUGCAUUGAAAAGUUGACAGAUGUGCUCGGGCUCAAAAGACCCUUGUUCCAAUAUUCAGUUUGUUCCGUGAACGUCUCAGAAAAUGACCGCCAGGUCGCAGAGUGACCGUGAAACAGCCCCCAGCUGGUCUGAAGCUCUCAGCAGGACGUCCACAAGCCUCCAGGCGUUUCUCGCUGACUUCACUGACAUCUUCGCUCCGUGCACGCGGCCUUGCCGCCCACUGAAAGACCUCCCGUCUCGGGUUUUAGAGCCAGCAUGGAGCCACUUCACCGACCCGACCGAGAGAAACGGCGUUGAAUUGAAAUGUAGAGAAGUGACCAGAGAAACUGUUGUUGUUGUUCGACCUUCUGCUCGACAUCGAACUACAGGAAACGGUCUUUUCUCCGUUAGACGGAGCCCAACGGGACGCGUCUCUUUUCCUGUCUCUCUCUCUCUCUCCAGCUCUUCGCUGCCCAGUGGCCGUUUCCACUUUGCACGCGUCUGGAGAACCACGGACACACCUGAUAUGGUCUGAUUCGGUGAGGCGCCCGAGGCCCCAAAUCAGAAGCGCGACCAAAAGCAAAAAGAGCAGCAAACGCACAGAAUAAUUCAUUUAUUUUCCCGCUGAUGAUCCAAGCGCCACAAUGGCUUCAAAUGAUUCCUUUGUUGCUCGUCCUCGGUCCUCUUUUUCAUUUGGUUUCUGUCCCCCCCCCCCCCCAAUUAAUUUGUGUUUUCUUGUAGUCGUUGCGGAUUAGUUGAUGGCCCGUGUCCAC
Long non-coding RNA from Gasterosteus aculeatus aculeatus (three-spined stickleback), 8946 nucleotides. The record is from Ensembl. Lineage: Eukaryota; Metazoa; Chordata; Actinopteri; Perciformes; Gasterosteidae.